ACUGAACGCUGGCGGAAUGCUUUACACAUGCAAGUCGAACGGCAGCACGGACUUCGGUCUGGUGGCGAGUGGCGAACGGGUGAGUAAUGUAUCGGAACGUGCCCAGUCGUGGGGGAUAACGUAGUGAAAAUUACGCUAAUACCGCAUACGAUCUAUGGAUGAAAGCGGGGGAUCGCAAGACCUCGCGCGAUUGGAGCGGCCGAUAUCAGAUUAGGUAGUUGGUGGGGUAAAGGCCCACCAAGCCAACGAUCUGUAGCUGGUCUGAGAGGACGACCAGCCACACUGGAACUGAGACACGGUCCAGACUCCUACGGGAGGCAGCAGUGGGGAAUUUUGGACAAUGGGCGAAAGCCUGAUCCAGCCAUUCCGCGUGCAGGAUGGAGGCCCUCGGGUUGUAAACUGCUUUUGUACAGAACGAAAAGGUUUCUACUAAUACUAGGAGCUCAUGACGGUACUGUAAGAAUAAGCACCGGCUAACUACGUGCCAGCAGCCGCCGUAA
This 500-nucleotide ribosomal RNA is filed under the name uncultured bacterium. RNAcentral describes it as "partial 16S ribosomal RNA". It matches the Rfam family "Bacterial small subunit ribosomal RNA", at positions 30 to 523 of the family's 1533-position model. The record is from RNAcentral.